RNAcentral lists this ribosomal RNA (360 nucleotides) under uncultured marine eukaryote. RNAcentral's name for it is "bacterial SSU rRNA". It matches the Rfam family "Eukaryotic small subunit ribosomal RNA", at positions 1 to 361 of the family's 1831-position model. The record is from RNAcentral.
AACCUGGUUGAUCCUGCCAGUAGUCAUAUGCUUGUCUCAAAGAUUAAGCCAUGCAUGUCUAAGUAUAAAGAACUUUAUACUAUGAAACUGCGUACAGCUCAUUAUAUCAGUGAUUAUUUAUUUGAUGGUACCUUAUUACAUGGAUAACCGUAGUAACCUAGAGCUAAUACAUGCAUAAAAUCCUGACUCUCGAGAAAGGAUGUAUUUAUUAGAUAAAGAAUCAAUACCGGCUCUGUCGGUUUCAUUGAUGAAUCAUAAUAACUGAUCGAAUCGCAUGCUUCGGCGGCGAUAGUUCAUUCAAAUUUCUGCCCUAUCAGCUUUCGACGGUAGUGUAGUGGACUACCGUGGCAUUAACGGGUA